RNAcentral lists this ribosomal RNA (445 nucleotides) under uncultured bacterium. Its description in RNAcentral is "bacterial SSU rRNA". It matches the Rfam family "Bacterial small subunit ribosomal RNA", at positions 29 to 485 of the family's 1533-position model. The record is from RNAcentral.
AUUGAACGCUGGCGGAAUGCUUUACACAUGCAAGUCGAGCGGCAGCGCGGAGGCAACCCUGGUGGCGAGUGGCGAACGGGUGAGUAAUGCAUCGGAACGUACCCAGUCGUGGGGGAUAACGCAGCGAAAGUUGUGCUAAUACCGCAUACGACCUGAGGGUGAAAGCGGGGGACCGUAAGGCCUCGCGCGAUUGGAGCGGCCGAUGUCUGAUUAGCUAGUUGGUGGGGUAAAGGCCCACCAAGGCGACGAUCAGUAGCGGGUCUGAGAGGAUGAUCCGCCACACUGGGACUGAGACACGGCCCAGACUCCUACGGGAGGCAGCAGUGGGGAAUUUUGGACAAUGGGGGCAACCCUGAUCCAGCCAUGCCGCGUGCGGGAAGAAGGCCUCGGUUGUAACCGACUUCGUACGGAAGAAAGUACGCAUGGACGUAAUACUACUGUGUGG